Molecule: ribosomal RNA, 570 nt
Filed under: uncultured fungus
Lineage: Eukaryota; Fungi
Description: eukaryotic LSU rRNA
Rfam family: 5.8S ribosomal RNA (bases 208-361)
Source: RNAcentral
CGUAACAAGGUCUCCGUAGGUGAACCUGCGGAGGGAUCAUUACACAAAUAUGAAGGCGGGCUGGAACCUCUCGGGGUUACAGCCUUGCUGAAUUAUUCACCCUUGUCUUUUGCGUACUUCUUGUUUCCUUGGUGGGUUCGCCCACCACUAGGACAAACAUAAACCUUUUGUAAUUGCAAUCAGCGUCAGUAACAAAUUAAUAAUUACAACUUUCAACAACGGAUCUCUUGGUUCUGGCAUCGAUGAAGAACGCAGCGAAAUGCGAUAAGUAGUGUGAAUUGCAGAAUUCAGUGAAUCAUCGAAUCUUUGAACGCACAUUGCGCCCUUUGGUAUUCCAAAGGGCAUGCCUGUUCGAGCGUCAUUUGUACCCUCAAGCUUUGCUUGGUGUUGGGCGUCUCGUCUCUAGCUUUGCUGGAGACUCGCCUUAAAGUAAUUGGCAGCCGGCCUACUGGUUUCGGAGCGCAGCACAAGUCGCACUCUCUAUCAGCAAAGGUCUAGCAUCCAUUAAGCCUUUUUUUCAACUUUUGACCUCGGAUCAGGUAGGGAUACCCGCUGAACUUAAGCAUAUCA